RNAcentral lists this long non-coding RNA (247 nucleotides) under Gossypium barbadense (sea-island cotton). RNAcentral describes it as "long non-coding RNA (GBAR_LNC021226)". Lineage: Eukaryota; Viridiplantae; Streptophyta; Magnoliopsida; Malvales; Malvaceae. The record is from RNAcentral.
CCCUCAAGGCCCAAAAUGAUCAUUAAAAUUAGUUCGGGUUUAAACUGGAUCCUCAAUAAAUUUUUUGGAAAACAUGUAAAAUUUUCAAAGAACCAGGGGACACACGCCUGUGUGGCCAAGUCGUGUGGCUCACACGGCCAUGCGACACGCCCGUAUCCCAGGCCGUGUGAACAUUCGAUGAGAAGCACAUGGUCGUGCCCUAGCUCGUGUCCAUAACCGUGUAACUCUUUGACUUGGGUCACACGGC